CCAGACUCCUACGGGGGCAGCAGUGGGGAAUAUUGGACAAUGGGGGCAACCCUGAUCCAGCAAUUCUGUGUGCACGAAGAAGGUUUUCGGAUUGUAAAGUGCUUUCAGCAGGGAAGAAGGAAGUGACGGUACCUGCAGAAGAAGCGACGGCUAAAUACGUGCCAGCAGCCGCGGUAAUACGUAUGUCGCGAGCGUUAUCCGGAAUUAUUGGGCAUAAAGGGCAUCUAGGCGGCCUUACAAGUCAGGGGUGAAAACCUGCGGCUCAACCGCAGGCCUGCCUUUGAAACUGUGAGGCUGGAGUACCGGAGAGGUGGACGGAACUGCACGAGUAGAGGUGAAAUUCGUAGAUAUGUGCAGGAAUGCCGAUGAUGAAGAUAGUUCACUGGACGGUAACUGACGCUGAAGUGCGAAAGCCGGGGGAGCGAACAGGAUUAGAUACCCUGGUAGUCCCGGCUGUAAACGAUGAUUACUGGGUGUGGGCAGGAAGACUGUCUGUGCCGAAGCGAAUGCGAUAAGUAAUCCGCCUGGGGAGUACGGCCACAAGGCUGAAACUCAAAGGAAUUGACGGGGGCCCGCACAAG
This 581-nucleotide ribosomal RNA is filed under the name uncultured bacterium. RNAcentral describes it as "bacterial SSU rRNA". It matches the Rfam family "Bacterial small subunit ribosomal RNA", at positions 331 to 929 of the family's 1533-position model. The record is from RNAcentral.